UGCGGGGUAGAGCAGCCAGGUAGCUCGUCGGGCUCAUAACCCGGAGGUCGCAGGUUCGAAUCCUGUCCCCGCUA
This 74-nucleotide transfer RNA is filed under the name Phycisphaera sp. TMED151. RNAcentral's name for it is "tRNA-Met". It matches the Rfam family "tRNA". From Rfam's summary of the family: Transfer RNA (tRNA) molecules are approximately 80 nucleotides in length. Their secondary structure includes four short double-helical elements and three loops (D, anti-codon, and T loops). The record is from RNAcentral. RNAcentral also lists the same sequence under 5 other names. Lineage: Bacteria; Pseudomonadati; Planctomycetota; Phycisphaerae; Phycisphaerales; Phycisphaeraceae.